AAAAGGUUCUAGGACAUAAUGAGGAUGAAUGAAUGAUGAUGGAAGGUAAAACUUCUUAGGAAGUUCACUUCUUGAGAUCAUAUGAGAAAUGAUUCAAGGGUGUCCUUUGGAAUGGAAAGUAAGUAAAGAUAAAAUAAACAAACAAAUGAUACCGGAUGCCACUCAAUGGUCUUACUCCAAUCUCACAAACAAAAGCGGAUAUCGGAUACCAAUGGCUGGGUUUACACCAAUCUCCUAAAACAGAACUGGAUAUCAGAGGCCACUCAAUGGUCUUACACUAAUCUCCUC
Molecule: long non-coding RNA, 288 nt
Filed under: Lathyrus oleraceus (garden pea)
Lineage: Eukaryota; Viridiplantae; Streptophyta; Magnoliopsida; Fabales; Fabaceae
Description: Pisum sativum (pea) long non-coding RNA (PSAT_LNC037809)
Source: RNAcentral